AGGAACAGUGGGUUAACUGCCUGUUCAGGGGCAGAACGACAGAUUUGUACCUUGUCAGCUCGGGGUUUGAACUUGCAACCUUCCGGUUACUAGUCCAACGCUUUGAUUUAACACACGAUCAAUACAGCGUCAUCUUUAAUAAUGAAACACUCAGUAAAACACAAAGAAAAACAACAUCUCAUUGUAGGGUCAGGUAUUUAUUAUAAAUGGAAACGUCAAAAGUAAUUUAAAUACAACAGAAGAGAGAGAAGUGACACGUCAUGAUGUUCAGGUCAGAAUGUGGACUGUGUGUGUUCUGCCAGGUGAGCUGUGUGUUAGUAGUAGAGAGGCUGUGUGUGUGUGUGUGUUCUGCCAGGUGAGCUGUGUGUUAGUAGUAGAGAGGCUGUGUGUGUGUGUGUGUGUUCUGCCAGGUGAGCUGUGUGUUAGUAGUAGAGAGAGGCUACGUGUGUGUGUGUGUGUGUGUGUGUGUGUGUGUGUGUGUGUGUGUGUGUGUGUGUGUGUGUGUGUGUGUGUGUGUGUGUGUGUGUGUGUGUGUGUGUGUGUGUAGGGGGUUCCGUGGUCCUGGAGAGUGUUGUGACGUGAAUCAGAGAAGGGAAUCACUAUAUGGGAACUAUGGUAAUAUCACCAGUAGAGACUGUA
Oncorhynchus keta (chum salmon) is the source of this 639-nucleotide long non-coding RNA. RefSeq lists it as uncharacterized. The transcript has 2 exons. Lineage: Eukaryota; Metazoa; Chordata; Actinopteri; Salmoniformes; Salmonidae. The record is from RefSeq and is a predicted model, not a curated record.